This is a long non-coding RNA of Lagopus leucura (white-tailed ptarmigan), 317 nucleotides long. RefSeq lists it as uncharacterized. Lineage: Eukaryota; Metazoa; Chordata; Aves; Galliformes; Phasianidae. The transcript is spliced from 4 exons. The record is from RefSeq and is a predicted model, not a curated record.
UUUGGUCUUCAUUGCUAACAGCUGCUUCUGACCUCACUUCUAGAGAAUUAUUUUAUGGAUGAUACCUGAUUCUAACAAAGAAUUGCUGAGAAGUCUAUUUUGAGCUAAACAAGACUUAAAAAGCCCAGUGCUCACUGCCCCUGACUGGUCUCCUGAUACCCCGCCCACAGCCCAGAACCCCUGUUCUGACCAGGCUGGGUCUGUCACACAGUGCACCAUAUUUCUGAAAGGAAACAGAAGUCUUAUUAUUGCCAUCUUCACACUGACUUGAAGGAAAUAAAGUUGGUUAACUGGGUUGGAAAAGGAAGGAAGAAGAG